AGAGCGAACGCUGGCGGCAGGCUUAACACAUGCAAGUCGAGCGCCCGUAGCAAUGCGGGAGCGGCAGACGGGUGAGUAACACGUGGGAACGUGCCUUUUGGUUCGGAACAACUGAGGGAAACUUCAGCUAAUACCGGAUAAGCCCUUACGGGAAAGAUUUAUCGCCAAGAGAUCGGCCCGCGUCUGAUUAGCUAGUUGGUGGGGUAAUGGCCCACCAAGGCUACGAUCAGUAGCUGGUCUGAGAGGAUGAUCAGCCACACUGGGACUGAGACACGGCCCAGACUCCUACGGGAGCAGCAGUGGGAAUCUGGACAAGUGGGCGCAAGCCUGAUCCAGCAGUGCCGUGUGAGUGAUGAGGCCGUUAGGUUAGUAAG
RNAcentral lists this ribosomal RNA (374 nucleotides) under uncultured soil bacterium. RNAcentral's name for it is "bacterial SSU rRNA". It matches the Rfam family "Bacterial small subunit ribosomal RNA", at positions 26 to 430 of the family's 1533-position model. The record is from RNAcentral.